UUUUGAAUUAGUUGACGUGUUUAAAUCGAUACAAAUCGUUCAAUCUACUCAUAGUUUUUACAAGUAAUGUGAAAUGAAUGGAUAUUAUGUGAGGUGCCUUGUGACGCUUUAAAGUUAAGUUUUCAGUUGAUAGUUGCAGUUUUCUCACAUUCAUUUUCUAAAUCGUGACUUCAGAAAUUAUUUAAUCAUAUUACACCCAUUUUAUUAUAUUUUUGUGCCUGAAAACUCAACUAUUAAACGUUACAUGAACUGAUAGUCUUGCUCGUAAAACGCUAUUUUAUUAUUGUUAACUGUUUGUGACUAAAGUACCUUUAUACGUUAGUAGCAAAUCAGGUUUGUAUUUAUAUAUCUUUCUAUUAAUUGUUUUCUUCAUUUUAAACUUGGAAAAUGUCCAAACAUACAGGAACAAGAAACUCUUGAUGAAACAACUGAGAUCAACACUGUUUUCAAUAUGGCGUUUAUUAAAGAAGAGACUGGAGACAUGAGAAUUUCAGAAUCAUUCAGAGUGAAACAUGAAGAUACUGAGGAACAAACAGACCUGAUGCCGCUUAAAGAAGUGAGUCAAAGAUCUAAAAGAUCUUUGACCUGUCAACAGUGUGGAAAAUCGUUCACUACAGCACAAAACCUUAGAAUUCACAUGAGAGUUCAUACUGGAGAGAAGCCUUUCACAUGUGAUCAGUGUGGAAAAAGUUACACACAAAACAAUGCCUUAAAGGAUCACAUGAGGAUUCACACUGGAGAAAGACCUUUCUCGUGUGGUGAGUGUGGAAAGCAUUUUAUGCGUAAAAUCUGCCUUGAUUUCCACAUGAGGAUUCACUCAAGAGCGAAACGUUUUAUAUGUCAUCAGUGUGGACAGAGUUUCACGGCUUUGAAACGCCUUAACAUUCACAUGAUAAUUCACUCCAGAAAGAAGCCCUUUAAAUGUUACCAAUGUGAAAAGGUGUUCAAAUUUAAAAAAGAGCUGAAGAGACACUUGGAGCAGUGUUUUAUGUGCCAUCAGUGUGGAAAGUGUUUAGAAGAUGAAGAAUCCCUUAAUAACCAUAUGGAACUUCACAAUGGAGAAAAGCCUUUCACUUGUCCCCAGUGUGGAAAGAGUUUCAUACAUAAAAGAUACUUCAAUGCUCACAUGAGAAUUCACAAAAGAGAGAACGAUUUGAAAUGUGAUCAAUUUGGAGAGAUUUUUACAAAAAAUAAACUUCUUAAAAUGCAUAAAAAUACUCACCCCGAAGAGCAGCAUUUCCCUUGUCCUGAGUGUGAAAUGAGUUUCACAUCUAAAGGAAACCUUAAGACUCACAGGAGGAUUCACACUGGACAGAAAGCUUAUUCCUGGGAAGAUUUUCAUACAUAAAGAACACCUUAAUUGUAACAUGAAAAUUCAGAAAAGAGGAAAUGAUUUAAAGCUCGGGACACUUGCGGGUUGGUUGGGGGUAGAUAAGAGAUAAAUCAUUGUGUUGAUUUUAAUAAAGACACUGAACCUGGUAAAACACAA
Molecule: long non-coding RNA, 1489 nt
Organism: Ctenopharyngodon idella (grass carp)
Lineage: Eukaryota; Metazoa; Chordata; Actinopteri; Cypriniformes; Xenocyprididae
Exons: 2
Source: RefSeq, a predicted model, not a curated record